UUAGUCAUUUUGGCCACAGUUUAGUAACUUUGGCAUUUCUGUUAUUCCCACAGGGCAACUGAAGCUCUCAUACCUGAUGUUCAAUGACGGGAAAAUUCUGGGGAAAUUGGAUAGAGAUGAAGCACAUACGUAUGAGCAUCACUGAGCUGUAUUACCACAUGGCUGUGGCAGCCUCCUCAGACUCAGCAGCUCGUACGCUCACACUCAGUCAAUGAUAAACACUUUGAGUACAUCAAAGCACUGCGGAAAAUGUUCACUGGUGUCAAAUGUGGUAUCAUCAACAUAUCACAGAAAAACCGAGAUUAAUCAUAAGCUACCAACCUCCUCACAUAGGUAGAAAACAGGUAUGAAACUCUUGCUUCCCUGGUGUCUGAGACUUUUUAAUGCUUCCUCCUUCCCUUGUUUCCUACUCCCAUUGCCACAUAUUUGAAUUUAUUCUUCUGACCCUCUGGACUUCUUUCCUGUCUCUUCCUAUACCUGAUCCUGUCCCUAUUU
This 495-nucleotide long non-coding RNA is filed under the name Rattus norvegicus (Norway rat). RNAcentral describes it as "long non-coding RNA NONRATT033395". The record is from RNAcentral. Lineage: Eukaryota; Metazoa; Chordata; Mammalia; Rodentia; Muridae.